CAAAAUAAAAUAUUUUUCCUUAUUAGAGCCAACAAUUAUCCAUAAUAUAAAAUAAAAUAUGUAAUGUUUUCUUAGUUUCCAAGAUAAUAAGUCAAGAUCAAAUUAUUAAACUUGUCCCUGAUGUCAUAAUAUCAGUGACUAGAACCCUAUUUAAACAUAAACACUGAUCAAUAAAACUUUAAAUAAAAAUAUAAUAUAGGUGAGAUCAUAAAUAUCCACUUUAUUCUCAAACACAAACACAUUGAUAUCACUCCUCAAUCUUGUUUUGAGGAUAACCUGCAUAUAAUAAUUGAAAAGAAACAUGUAGAAAAUAGGGGGUGAGAUUUUAUAAUAGAAAAAGAUAUGUUUGAAUAUAAUAUAUAGAGAAAUAGGAUAUAAGUGGGUAGUUGGAAUGGAACCCGUAUCAUUAGCUUGGAUGGGUUUAUAGUCAAUGAAAGUUUCUAUUUAAAAAUUGAACGUGAAAAUUUUGUUUCAUUUAGGGCCUUUGUAGAAUAAUUUAAGAGAUAGAUGCAAUACAUGAAGAAGAAAAUGGCAAUUAACAUCUAUGUCAGCCUUUCGGUAUGAAUACAUAUGUUAAAAUAAAUUUAAAGUGGUAAAGUAGUAAUGUAUAGAAGCAAACAAACAAAUAUACGUUUAUGACUGCAAACCAUUUGAGGCGUACACAUAAUACUAUAAGAGAUACAUAUAUAAAAUGAAUCGUUCCUACACAUCUAUUAUAUAUGCAUAUCGCGUACACAUAACUUGUAUUUAAGAAAGUAUAAUUUGAUGACAAGGGAGGUAAAAGAAGAACACCACCGCUCGAUGUGAACUUUAGCACAUUGCAAUAUCACUACUAUUUGAAUGUUAAGCGACUAGUUAGAGUUUCUCAACUAUAAAUAUACUCUAAAAUCAAGGAAUCAUAAAGAGCCACUAGGGAUUUCACACCGAAGAGUAGUCUCCCCUUAAAUUGGGUUGACAAACCCAUGGCAUCUUCACCAUCUAAUUCAUUUAAUAUUUUCACUCAUAUAUUAAAAUAAUUCAAUAUGAUUCAUUUUUCACAAAAAAACAUAAAAAAUUAUCAUUGUUUUAUUCUCAUGUCAAAAAUGUUAUCAUCAGUCCCUCCAUUUACAAUGUAGGUAUGUUAUAAAUAUAUUAUCAUCCAAGAACUUUCACUGCCUCACUUGAGCUACGAGGCUUGGCUCAAUACUAUUAAUCACAAAAUUAUACGCAACACACAAAUUCUCAUGAGCAACCUAGUAAUUAAUUGAAAAGAAUGAUUCACUUUUGUACUAACAAGUUGUAAUCCUCAUUAAAAUAUAAAUUACUUAUUCUAUUUAUAUUUUUCUUUGUGGUUUUAAGGUUCCAUUUGUCAAUCAAAAUUUUCAUUUACAAGACAACUUUUUUGGAGCUUUUAUAAUCUAUUAUUUGAGUUUGAUAUGUUUCUUCAACCUAAUUACCUUGUAUUUUGGGAUGGAUUUAUAUCAUUAGGUUGGCCAUUUUUUAUUAUGCUAUUGCUUUUAGACUCAUUGGUAACGAUGAACUAACAUAACUAUAUUAAAAAUUCUAGGAAACAAAAGUAUGUAUAUAUAUAUAUAUAUAUAUAUAUAUAUAUAUAUAUAAAAGUCUUUGGUACUUGGAUUGAGUUUCCUUUUCCCAAGAUUCAAUCUAACUGUGUUUCUGUGCUUCUUUCAAAUUACGUAGUGUUUGGUGCGGUUUUCGACUUGUGUAUGUAAGAAUCACAACAGACAAAUAUGAUGUUUUUUCCUUAUUGUACAUGUUGUGGCGUACUUGUGUAGGUGCUAGAGUUAUCAAAGCAUUUGUUUCGUUUCUUCAAUAUUCUAAAGUGGAUAAAAUAUCUAGUACAUAUUUAGGACGAAUAUGGUAAAAUAGUUUAUCAAUUAAUAUAUAUAGGGUGAAACAAGAUCUACCAGGUAUUAAAAAGAUAAUGGUAGCUAUGAUUUGUUUUUUCAUUCUUAAGAGUAUCAUCUAAAUAGAUAUAUUUUGUCAAUAUAUUGUCUAUAAUAUAAGUGUGAUAUUUUAAUUGUUUUCAUACAUUGGUAGGGUAAGAGCAUUUGGAUCAUCUUUUAUAUAUGAUAUUUUAUUUAUGUACGAAAUAUCAUAGAUGAUAUAUUUUUCAUUUUUAAUAAAAUAGUUAUGUCCUCUGUAUAUUUGAAGCAGUUAUAUGUUCAUGAUGCCUUAUUAUAUGUUAACUUAAGGGUGUUAGUAUAGUGUAGGUUUUUGUGUAAUCAUUGAUUAUUAUGAUCAUGAGGAUUAUAAGUAAGAUAAUAGUAUAAUAUUAUUAGGGAAACUAUGAUUAUGAUGAAAACAAAUUACAAGUAUGACAAUCGACUAAGGUUAUGAAUAUGAAUAAAAAUAUAAACAUGACUUUUUCGUACAAACAUAAAUGAUUAGUUAGUGAUGUUUAUGGACUAAGUUUCCAUGACUUAUAGAGAUUAUAUAUGAAGAAUUUCAUAAGGUUUCAUUGAUGUUAUUCCACCAUUAAGUUUAUGGGGUUUCACAAGGUGUAUUACUGGUCCCAUCUUUUAGAAAGGAUAUUAUCAUUAUUUUGAACAUGGCUAAAUGCCACUAUAGUGAUCUAUUCUAGCCAAAAUUAUGGACUGCAAUAAGCUUAAAGCAUUUAGACUCCAUUAGAAGUAACAGGGUGCUUUCACAUUGUUAGCGAGACCAUUUGUGGCAUCAUAAUUUACCAGUUUAAUUGUCAACGCUUAGUUUGAUAUGCAUCAAAUACAUAUGAAUGAUCUGAAAUGAAAUUUAACGAUGAUGUAUAAUAUGAUUGAGUCGAGGAUGUAUGCUGUACUUUUUGUGUGGUGUACUUUUUUCCAUCCCAUUAUUUUGAUUUUCUAGAGUCUUAGUUCCUAUUUAAAAUGAUCCCCAUUUGCAGGGGCUUUGGAUUUUAUUGUGUUGUUGGAGUACCCCUUGUACUCCUUUUUCAAUUUGAUAUAUAUUCCACUAAAAAAAAUUAUUUAAAAUGAUUCUAAUGUGAUUAAAUAAAUUGCAAGGUCGAAGAAUUACAUGAAAGAUUAGAGAAUUAUGUUUUACCUUAGUCGGUCAAGGAAAGACAAAUACUGUUGAUGCACUCCAUGGGAUAUGGAUUGUCAGGAAAAAAUUUCAGGCAAUCGUCAUCAGUAUCACACACUACUGUAAGGUAAAUAAAGAUAAAGAAAUAUUACUAAAUAUAAAAGAAAUGUGUUGUCUAAGAUAAAAAAUAAUAAUAAUAGAAUGAGCUUACAUUCGCCAUAAAUUACAAUAAAAUACAAAGAAACAAAAAGGAUCGCAUUAUAAAUAAACUUGAGAAUUUCAGCCAUUCUAUUAAUAAAA
Molecule: long non-coding RNA, 3318 nt
Filed under: Medicago truncatula (barrel medic)
Lineage: Eukaryota; Viridiplantae; Streptophyta; Magnoliopsida; Fabales; Fabaceae
Description: lncRNA gene35506
Source: RNAcentral